This is a long non-coding RNA of Solenopsis invicta (red fire ant), 9327 nucleotides long. RefSeq lists it as uncharacterized. The record is from RefSeq and is a predicted model, not a curated record. Lineage: Eukaryota; Metazoa; Arthropoda; Insecta; Hymenoptera; Formicidae. The transcript has 9 exons.
GGAACGCGGCGAAUGCUGCACGCAUCCUGCCGCGAGCGGCAUUGCGACUUGUUUAAUAGAACGCAACGGACGCGGGAUGGACGGGCCCCGGAACGGAGACGUUAUCGCGGCUCGUUUAAUAGAACGCGGCGUAUGCAAAAAGGAUUAACUCCGAAACGAAUGGCGUUGCGAUUCAUCUAAUUAAUUGUAUAGUAUCGUAUGUACUACAAUUCUAUUAUUGCACAUUGUGGGAUCUGACAACUCGAAAAUAAAUUAGACUUAAAGGAGGUAUCGGGUUUCGAUGGGCAAACUUUGCGAUUCAUCAUAGUGACGUGUCUGUUAACUCCACAGUUCCGUAUUAAUUGCAAACUUAUCCAUGUAUAAAGUUGACAUACUCUCGUCGCCGAUUUUAAUUGAAAAUAAACGAAUCGUAGCCGGUUCGUCGCGUCGCGCGUUUUAUAUCGGUAGUGCCGUUCAAGUUAUCGGAUUAAAACUCUUUAAAUAAUUAGUCCGCGCGCGAUUGUAGUAUAUUAUCGCGAGUGUUUUUCGCGAGUGUACAACAGUAAAAAGAGGAGGAGGAGGAGGAGAUCUAACAAUCUGAGAGGAGGAGGAGGCCUGAGAGGCAUCAGGCUCCAGAGGAGCAACUCUUGGGUAUCAUCGCAGCUUCGUGGCAGAAUUACUCCUCUCGUUGCGCAUCGGGUCGAUUAAAUCGCAGGAUCUGAGAGAAGGUGACCGAGUAACUCUGCUCAUAGCGCAUCGGAUCGAUGUGCCGUGAGCAAAGGACCGUUUAAAAAUCGACAAAGGCCAAGACAAUAGUAGGCGUUUAAUUAAGCUAAAAUGGAAGAUCAACUAGUAUGAGCGAACCGGAGCAGAGGAGAGCAAUAUCUUCUCCGACUCGGCUUACGGAGCACGUAGUGUCGCAGUCAAGGCUGACCUACAUGGCUGCACCACUGUCUGAUCCCAUGCAAACCUGCUCCACUAGUGCUGGCUUAACGCUGACUGUCAGAGCUCGCGCAUUAUACGGCUGGCAUUUUAUGUCGGUUCUCAAAAAUCUUUUCAACGAAUAUUCGGGCAGACUAAACCAUCAAAAAAAUUCAAUUCAAAAUUCAAAGAUUCUUAUUUUGUAUCGUUGAGAGAAGUAAUACGUAUUGAUUUACAUUCUUUGUGUUGCUUCAAAGAAUACUACGAGAUCGAUUAUAUUUGGUAAUCGGGUAACAAAAAUAGAAAUUUAUAUAACUCUAAUUAAUAACGACUAAUAUAAAUUAAUCGCAAUUAAUAUAAUAAUAUAUAAAUUAACGUAAAAUAUCAAAAUCAACGUUUAAAAUUAAAUUGAAUAGAAUGUAAGCCUUGCACACAAUUACAUCCACAUGAUAAUUGUAUACAGUAUAUAAAAAAAUCUAUCGAUUAACGAAUAGAUGAUGCAUUUGUUAUCGCGUCAAAUUUAUCGAUGAUUGCAGCCGUCAACGAUGCUCCGAAAAUAAAAUUUCUCUUUAAAAAGAUUAAAAUACUCGAUAUCCUCCUAUUUACACAAUAUUGCAGCUACGCGCGGCUAUUGAAAAGAUAUAUUUAAAUGAGAAAGUGGAAAGAAUAAAAUUGUUGCGACUCGUUGUCACGUUUUUACGAUAACUCCGAUGGGAAUCUCGGUGAUUGGCCAAUCUCCGAAGACAGUCGACAGCGCGUGACUGUCGCUUAUCGGAUGAAAAUCGUGCGAACAAAGAAAUCGACAUUAUAUGACGUUCGAGCUCAGCGAACGUUCCAUCGGGGGUCUCCAAGGAAUUUAAUGCGAAUGAUCCCCGGUAUCGCCGCCAGUUGGAAGGCGUCGUGUCGAGAAAUAAGGUGCCGCUGAUCGAUAUCUUAUUUUUUUUCCGCCAUCAUAAAUCGGACGUGAACUGCUCCCCGGAGAGCAACUCGAUGAUCGAGAAAGUUUUGCAGAUUGCUCUGACGUAUUUGUCCCAGUUGCUUUACGUUAAAGUUACUCCUAUCUCUCCCGUGCAUCCUCAUACGAGAGGGAAGGAUUUAGAAAAGUCACACGUAAAUUUCCUUCACUGAACUUUCAUUCGCAGUAAAUUUCAUUUAAGCAAUUGUUAUUUCAACACUUCGAGACUAUGAAUUUCAUAAUAUUGCGUUGAGGGAUACUAUUGAAGAAAAAGUGGAUAAAUGUAUAUUUAGAAACGUUUCAGAGAGAAAGAUAAAUGGCAAAUAAAAAUUUUAUGAAAAAUUUAACGAAGAACACGCAAGUACGGCUAAAAAUUUCUUCUCGCAGAGUUCGUUCUAGCGCUAUGCACGAUGAAAAUGUAUAACGGGCAAACGCGUUCCACGUAUGCAAAGUUCGCGCGCACAUCGAUUAUCGCGGCCACCGUGUCGCGGUGUGGCGAUGCGAAAGUGCCUCCUGCCUCGCGACAAUAACGUAAAUCGUCGAAACUGUCGUAAUCCCCGCGCACGAGCGAACUUUAACAAUUAUAUUUAAUACGAUAUAGGUCCAGCAGAGACACGGUGAGCGGUACCGCGCGAACCGCGUUGCCCGAAUGGCGAGAGAGCGAGCGAGAGUCAGCGGUGUGGCGCGCGGCGUCAUAAGCCAUAGAUACCCGGCGGUACCUAUGCCAGUUCGAAACUCAUACCGGCCGCGCCGGCGUUUCUCGCGGUGCGACCACCAACCCCAGGUGAAAUCUACUCUUCUGCCUUCCCUCCCUCAUGACCAGCUCGUUCCCGUUCCCGUUCCAUUCUCGUCCACCCUCUCCGUGCCAACCCUCACCUUCCCCUAUCCACGGUUCUUGUACCGCUAUGCGGCAAAGUCUAAUCAAAUUUAAUAACUUUUGUGCUGCCCGCGCUUUGCCCAUCCUAUGAAGCCGAUCUUCCUCUUCCUCCUCCUUCUCCCUCUCUCGCUCUCUUCCCGAUCUUUACUCCUCUCUUCUGCCUCUCAUUCUUGUUACUCUAUUUCUCAUUGUCCGGCUGUCUAUCUUCGUUCUAUCGCCGUGUCUCCGCUAUCUACUUCCCUACUGCGGUCUCUUCGUCACGUUAUAAACUUGCACCUCUCGCAGCGGAACCACUGAGUACCGCAGAUUUAUGACGGCGACAUGCCAGACCUGCUGAAACGACCCCGAUCUACUCGCGACUCCAUUUUCAACGACACGCUCGCUCGUCUAUUCGCAUUUUCCCUCUUUUUAUUUUGGCCGUCUGCCGUUUCGUAAAUUUUGUCGAUAACGUUGACCAUAUCUUCUCCGCGCAGAACAUUUCCAAAAUUACUCGCGUCGAUCUGCUCGUUUUAGUCCAAAUAAUAACUUAUUUGGAUCGUCGCCGAUUUCUGUAAUUAUUCCACUUUUCGAUUGGUAUCUACUAUAUUUCAAGCAUGUUAUUCCAAGUUUGAUGCAACAUUCCUUGUUAUUAUUGAGACCAAGAUUAUAAAAAAUGCAAUCAAAUUGUAACGCGUGGAUGGCCCGCAAUAAUAUUUUGAAAUUUGUUAGUAACACUUGUCACCAUAGCUCAAUUCCUGUACAAAAAGAAAAUCAGAUGUAUCGGAAAAUUUUUUUACGGUUCCGAUAGAAAAUACAAAUUUUAGCUAUUAAUAAUAUUUGAUAUCACGAUUUUGCCUGCUUGUUCUUAAGUUAAGAUGGAUUCGUCUCAAGACUGUGUCGCACCUGGUCGCACCAUAACGCAUCGAAAUAAAUAAUGACGGUCUUCUCAACCAUGAUGUAAGAAUUCAACAAUCGUGUUUGACGAUUACAAUCAACUUUCCCGCAUAUUCAUAAAAUAUCGGAAUUUUUUUUGUUUUCAACAUAAAAGAAUAACUGAUAAAAAACGAAAUUAUUCUGAAUAGACCUUGUUAUCACACAAAAGGCAAGUAAUCUAACCACGGAAUAAUGCAAUGACCCUUGUUAUAAAAAAAAAUAUACAAUAGCGGGUAUGAUACUCAAGCUCGUCAAAAAAAGAUGUGUCGGAAAAAUUGCAGCAGUUUUUCUUAACAUAAUCGUAUCAAUUAUUACGGCUUUGUUGUGAUAAAAAAAAGUCUAAAUGGAAAAAGCAUAAAUAAAUCCCAUAUCAUCCGUUGGCCUCAAUCUCGAUAUCGUACACCUCUCUCGGAAUCGAAAGCCCAGCGGAGAACGGCGACAUUUAACUCGAAAGCAGAAUAGCCGUAUCCGGAUUUCAAACGCGACCGCAUGCCUAUUUUGUAACAGAUCAGCGGCCAAAGUCCCUCGCCUCCUCCCUUCCUCUCCUUCCACCCUUUCUCUUCUGGCCAUUCUCAAUCCGAUCCGUGUGUUCUGCCGCUGUUUUCAUCCACCCCACGAACUCACCCUCGGUGCUGUGCGACUCUGUCGCGCGGAUUUACCAAUAAUGUUGCACCGCUACACCGACAUACACCAACACGUAUGCGAAGAUAUGGGUAGCUAAAUCGACCUAUCGCCCAGUAACUACAGAUUAGUGUUAUCAGAGCGUUACAACGCGAAAGCGUGGUUUACCUUGACACUGGGCGAAACGCAAGAUCGAUGGCAGCCAAGGGUUACAAAAGUCAUCGCUGUGCGAUCGAUUUACCAUUCAGCGGCCACACUAGCUCUUUCACGGCAAGCGAUACUCGUAUUUUUUAACAACGUGUGUUACCAUAUUGAUUAACCCUUCUACUAUUCAACAGAAAAACGAAAUUGCUUUUAGAAAAAUUAGCAAUGCGUUUACCGUUCAUCUAUCAAGAACAUGUCGAUAUAAAGAAGAGUAAGUGCAAGAUUAUCAUGUAUGUAUAUAUCGCAAUAUCUAUGCAGAAUAUUUUUUGAUACACCCCCCACGUCAUCAAUCACCCGACGUUGUUGUCUUCGGCAUUAUUCAUGCUUCUAAAUCACGCUAACGCGUUUACUUCUAUCGUAGAUAAAAUCAGUGGAAUAGCAGAGCGGUUCUGGUACUGACAACGAUGCUGCUCUUCUGAUGUGAAUGCGAGAACUCUGUAAUGUGUCGUAAAAAGAUAAAAUCUAUACAAAAGACCUCUACGCAAAAAACCAAGAGUUUGUAAAAAAAGAAUAGCUCAUUAAGGAAGUCUGAACAUUUUCAUAAUGAGGAGCAGAAUAUGAGAAGGUAGUGUUAUAAAUACUCAUUAAGGAAAGAGAAAAAGAAAGAAGGCAAAGUCUAAUCUAAAAAGAAAAAUUUUACUACGUUAGUAUAAUUCCAAUGAACUAACUGUAUAUGAAAGCAAAAACUAAUAAUUGAACUUAUUAAAUUCUAUUCCUUGUAUUGCAAAAUCAAAAGCAUCUGAUCUUUUACUUCAUAUCGUUUACUUUAUUCAUCUCAUCUUCGUUUUCUUGUCUCCCAUUUUCUUGUCUUUUUAUAUAACGUAUAUAUUUUUCUAUAAAUGAAUUGUAGUAGUAUUUUUUUUUUUCACAAAUACCCGAUCAUGUAAAUUCCGAUAACUCAACAUAUAUGUAUAUCUAUCCAAUAUGUUACCGAAAUUGUAGCGUGCAUGGAUGACAGAAUUAUAAUUGAGUUAGCAUGCAACCUGUAAACACAUUAUUAGCCGAUUGCUUCGCUGUGAGAAAUCCAUACAAUCGCAUUUGAUAUCGUAUUUUCGUUAUGACAACCGUCAGGCUUCUCGCGAGGAUAAUAAUAAACAGAGCAAAAUAAUAGGGAUAAGGGUGGUUAAACACCCACCAAAGUGUAAUAAGUUUCGGCGAAUUGGGGACUAUCCGUUGUAAACACGGCGCGGACUACUGUGUGUAGAUUUUACGCCCCUCCGAGUAAGCAUAGCUUGUUGCGGAACACCGCAGUUUAAUUACUGUGCCACGAACUACAAACGUACAUUUAGAUACAAGAAUUAUUUUCUUGCCCGAUAUAACGCGGAUAUUAUCAGCGCGCAUCGCGUUAGUUCUGAAAUAUCCAUCAUCUAUUAGCAACAAAGAAUAAUUUAAAUGACGCAUAUAACUAACAAAUUAAAUCGUAAGAUUCAUAAUUAUUUCGCCAAUAAAUAGCUAUUUAUCAUCAGCGAAGUUACAGAAAUCGGAAAUAAAAUGGCUAUUGACCGAAUAUAAACUAUUUAUCAUUAUUAAUAUACGAUUCAUCAUCAUUAAAACUGACCGUACACCAGUAAGAUUUAUCGACAUUACGUCAAUAUUUCAAGAGUAACGUUUGAAAUAUACUAAAUAUCGUGGCUGCCUAUCGCAGAAAUCUCACAGCAUAUCUGUAAUAGAUCGAAAUAUAGAUCAGCAGUCACGAAUGCAGAUUGGGUAUUUCCAAGGACUUUGAGCUUAUACGAGCAAAUUGACAGUAAAUCUGUCCCCGAUGGGCAUUGAUGGCGUCCCGACUGAGCGGUGCAAAUUCAUUAGUCGAUUCGAUUUUGACACGGAGAAAUGAUACGAGUGGACGCCAACGUGAGAGUUAUCUUGAGAGUAAAUAGAUUGGAAAUCCAUGUCGUGUAAAUUGGAAACAUAACGGUUUCCGCGCCUUUGAAUGAACAUUCACCGAAUGCGCUGCAUUUUCUACAUUAAUGAGUAAGAUAAAAGCAAUCUAAUGUAUUCGUAAAAUGUAAAAAUUAUCCGUAGAAUUUAUUUACAUAUUUGCGAGAGUCAGAUAAUUAAAAAUUCAAGACAAAAAGAAAAAGAAUUAUUAUUAUUUAUCUCAUUUACCUAUCCUAUCUGAACAAGUGCAUCAUCGAUACUCGAAUUCUCAAAGUUUAUUGUUGCAUUUGGUUUUGUGCUGAUUGGUUCUCAUUCAGCGCUUACUUCGUGAACGGCUGUCAUCGCGGAAAUCACGAAUUUUGACUAUGUGUAUUGAGGGACUCGAACAGUGUAAUAUUAAAAUUGUAAUUUGCAUAAACUUAUGUAUGUAAUAUAAAAAAAUUCAGUAGCGCGCGUUUGUUUUGUCUAGUAAAGUCAAAAGAUAAAUAAAGUCGAAAGAUCUUUAUUUUAGUCGGAAAAUAUUAUUUAUUACGAAAAGAAUUUUGUAAAAAAAUGUCACGAAUUUGAUAGUGUACUAAAAAUAACGAUAACUAGAAAUGCUAUGGCUAGGAGCAAAAAUAUUUCUAUCUCUAUAUGAAAAUAUAGACCGAAUAUCGGAAAUCACAAACGAAAGGUUAAACCAAUUAUAAUCGGAUUUAAUAGUAAAGCUAUAUCCUCGGAUAGCUUUUCCAUACAGCUAUUUUAUUAUUAAACUAACGAUUGUUCGUACAUCGAAUGGCAUUGAAUUGCUCAAAUAACAUUCCUUCGCUACGCAUAUAAACGAACAGAUAUCUGAGUUUUUGUAAAAGAGUAAGACAAAUAUAUAGAAUUUUUAAAACUAUCCACGAUAUUAGAAAUUUCAUUAGAUUAAACCAAAAAGCAAUAUGUCAUUCCAUGAUUAAAACGUCUAGAAAAUGCCUGCGCGUUGAUUAAAACGCUCACUUUGUUCGUGAACAGCGUAAACAUUUUGAAAAUUUCUAACGCCCUUUAAUUAUGUAUAUAUUUACCUACUAUUACGCUAAAGUAAGCGCACAUAAGUUUUUACAUGGCGUAACGUUGCGAGUAAUAUGCGUUACGUCGCGAAAAAUGCGACUGUGAGCGACAUAUCCGAUGAAGUAGAGGGCAGGUGCCUUUUUGCCGUGUUGUUCUAAACAAGUGCCAGGAAAACUGGCAUGAACCGCACGACUUAACAGGAAAAAAGGGUGGUCUCGCUUGGUAUACUUUUCACGACUGCACCGCGACGAAAAGCGGCUGGUUCUCGCAGCAACCGUUUAAACGGUCGUAUUCGAUGCGUCGCAUAUAAGCGCGAAUAAUAUUUUACAUAUAAAAAAGAAAAGUAAAAAAAGGAAACAAGACGUAGAUACCGUCGACGAUAUUGACGUUAUAUCCACGCGCGCAACUUUCAGCGUCGCCUGAUGUUCCCCGUUGGGAACGACGCGGGAGUAUCUACUUAUUCUGGAUUCUACCGACUAUAUCUGCCGUAUCUCGUGUUACUUUCUCCCCGAUAAACAUUUCCUUUAACCCAGGAAUUUCUCCCGAUGUUACUGCGAAUGUAUUUUCUAUCGUUAUCAGGGGAGUAAAUUCUUUUUACGAAAGUAAACUUUUUCGAUGAUUUUCCAAAGGUCCGCAAUUAGUCUACAAUCGCGAUAUUGUGACAUGUAUAUUGUAAUACUGCGACCCCUCAAAACAACGUCCGUUUCUCUUCCAUUUAGCGACUACUGAUAUUUUUUUCUUAACAAUACUUCCAUCGACAGCUUUCGAGUUAUAGGCAAUAAAAUAGUAAACUAAGUUCUAACCAAGACAAAAGAGAGACGAACAAAUAGCGUAAAGCCGGAAAUUGAAAAACUUUCUACUAAAAUUAAAUUGUUUUUCAUAGCAGUCGCUUUCAAGAAACCACGGGAUUUAAAAAUAAAAAAAAUAAUUCACAGAAGCUUUAAACAAAGAUUACACAUUUUCGAGAAGUUGAGCAAAAGGUGAACUAGAAUUUAAAGUAAUCCGAGCGCGUUUAUUUAAAAAUGUAUCCCUAGAUCAACUAGAAUUAUACAUGAAAUUGCUGUAAGUUCUCACCAACGAUUAAAUAAUUAAUUCGAUUUUGUAUACGACCGCACGAUUUCCCUUGGAUAGAAACCAGAAACUUUAAGGCGUUGGUCCAAUGCCAAAUUAGCUUAUUAAACUGUAUGUUCCAGACGUGGCAGAACUUAGAUCUUAGAAAACCCUAGAAGAUAGAUUUGAUUAAUUUAAGAUAAUUGAUGCAUGCAAAUGUUUAAGUUAGAAGACGAAGCUUGUAUUAUAAUAAUAUUGUAUUAAAAAUGAUUUUCCCCUUUUUCACUAAUAAAAAUAUUUAAAAAAAUUAUUUACGAGCGACAUGAAAAAAAGCGUAUUCAUAUCUGCUCGAUACAAAACUCCAAAUUGAACUAAUUGUGUUAUUAUAUGUGAUUCGCGUGUCGAACAACUUUGAAUAAUAAAAUAUAAAGCUAAUCUUCAAAAACACUGAAAUAACAACAAAAAUUUACAAUCAAUUUCACAUUUCAAAGAUUAUUUAAAUACAAAGGAUUGAAAAAAUGGUAGUGAGAUCAAACAGUCCAGUACGCUUCUCGUAGUAACAAGGAUGUACAAUUGUGCUGCGCUCAAAAAUCUCAAACAUGUUCGCGGAAACGAGAAAGAUGAAGCAUUCAUACGGAUUGAUAUUCCAUUGUAUCAGUCGAAUUGAGCUCCAUCAAUUUGCGGCAAAUACAGUUGUUACGUGUAUCUCGCAUUUAGCGUAUUACAACUAAAUUCUACCGGAUCCUGUUCUAUCACGAGCCGUUAACAAAUACUGACAAGCGAGAACGAAGCGGGCUCGGCACCCCGAUAUGUCGAAUAGGUUUUCGAUUUCCGCGCGAUUGCUCGACGUACCUGUGUCGGUGGCUUGAUCCGCCACUGGCGUUCGCCAGUGCCCCAA